GAUGAACGCUGGCGGCGUGCCUAAUACAUGCAAGUCGAGCGAACGGACGAGAAGCUUGCUUCUCUGAUGUUAGCGGCGGACGGGUGAGUAACACGUGGAUAACCUACCUAUAAGACUGGGAUAACUUCGGGAAACCGGAGCUAAUACCGGAUAAUAUUUUGAACCGCAUGGUUCAAAAGUGAAAGACGGUCUUGCUUUCACUUAUAGAUGGAUCCGCGCUGCAUUAGCUAGUUGGUAAGGUAACGGCUUACCAAGGCAACGAUGCAUAGCCGACCUGAGAGGGUGAUCGGCCACACUGGAACUGAGACACGGUCCAGACUCCUACGGGAGGCAGCAGUAGGGAAUCUUCCGCAAUGGGCGAAAGCCUGACGGAGCAACGCCGCGUGAGUGAUGAAGGUCUUCGGAUCGUAAAACUCUGUUAUUAGGGAAGAACAUAUGUGUAAGUAACUGUGCACAUCUUGACGGUACCUAAUCAGAAAGCCACGGCUAACUACGUGC
Molecule: ribosomal RNA, 498 nt
Filed under: uncultured bacterium
Lineage: Bacteria
Description: partial 16S ribosomal RNA
Rfam family: Bacterial small subunit ribosomal RNA
Source: RNAcentral